RNAcentral lists this transfer RNA (73 nucleotides) under Bos taurus (domestic cattle). It matches the Rfam family "tRNA". Rfam says of the family: Transfer RNA (tRNA) molecules are approximately 80 nucleotides in length. Their secondary structure includes four short double-helical elements and three loops (D, anti-codon, and T loops). The record is from Rfam by way of RNAcentral. Lineage: Eukaryota; Metazoa; Chordata; Mammalia; Artiodactyla; Bovidae. RNAcentral also lists the same sequence under 1 other name.
UCCCUGGUGGUCUAGUGGUUAAGACUCUGCACUUUCAAUGCAGAGGUCUUGGGUUCAGUCCCUGAUUGGGGAA